CCUACGGGAGGCAGCAGUGGGGAAUAUUGCACAAUGGGGGGAACCCUGAUGCAGCGACGUCGCGUGAGUGAAGAAGUAUCUCGGUAUGUAAAGCCUUGUCAGCAGGGAAGCAGAAAGACGGUACCUGACCAAGAAGCCCCGGCUAACUACGUGCCAGCAGCCGCGGCAAUACGUCGGGGGCAAGCGUUAUCCGGAUUUACUGGGGGUUAAGGGAGCGUAGGCGGCAGUGCAAGUCUGGAGUGAAAGGCAGGGGCCCAACCCCUGGACUGCUCUGGAAACUGUCCGGCUUGAGUGCAGGAGAGGUAAGUGGAAUUCGUAGUGUAGCGGUGAAAUGCGUAGAUAUUAGGAGGAACACCAGUGGCGAAGGCGGCUUACUGGAGUGUAACUGACGUUGAGGCUCGAAAGCGUGGGGAGCAAACAGGAUUAGAUACCCUUGUAGUC
Molecule: ribosomal RNA, 441 nt
Filed under: uncultured bacterium
Lineage: Bacteria
Description: partial 16S ribosomal RNA
Rfam family: Bacterial small subunit ribosomal RNA
Source: RNAcentral